UGUUCUCGUAGCUCAGCAGGAUAGAGCGGUUGCCUCCUAAGCAACAGGUCGCGCGUUCGAAUCGCGCCGAGGACAA
Molecule: transfer RNA, 76 nt
Filed under: Parachlamydia sp. AcF125
Lineage: Bacteria; Pseudomonadati; Chlamydiota; Chlamydiia; Parachlamydiales; Parachlamydiaceae
Description: tRNA-Arg
Rfam family: tRNA
About the family: Transfer RNA (tRNA) molecules are approximately 80 nucleotides in length. Their secondary structure includes four short double-helical elements and three loops (D, anti-codon, and T loops).
Source: RNAcentral